ACCGUGAGGGAAAGGCGAAAAGAACCCCGGCGAGGGGAGUGAAAAAGAACCUGAAACCGUGUACGUACAAGCAGUGGGAGCACGCUUAGGCGUGUGACUGCGUACCUUUUGUAUAAUGGGUCAGCGACUUAUAUUCUGUAGCAAGGUUAACCGAAUAGGGGAGCCGAAGGGAAACCGAGUCUUAACUGGGCGUUAAGUUGCAGGGUAUAGACCCGAAACCCGGUGAUCUAGCCAUGGGCAGGUUGAAGGUUGGGUAACACUAACUGGAGGACCGAACCGACUAAUGUUGAAAAAUUAGCGGAUGACUUGUGGCUGGGGGUGAAAGGCCAAUCAAACCGGGAGAUAGCUGGUUCUCCCCGAAAGCUAUUUAGGUAGCGCCUCGUGAAUUCAUCUCCGGGGGUAGAGCACUGUUUCGGCAAGGGGGUCAUCCCGACUUACCAACCCGAUGCAAACUGCGAAUACCGGAGAAUGUUAUCACGGGAGACACACGGCGGGUGCUAACGUCCGUCGUGAAGAGGGAAACAACCCAGACCGCCAGCUAAGGUCCCAAAGUCAUGGUUAAGUGGGAAACGAUGUGGGAAGGCCCAGACAGCCAGGAUGUUGGCUUAGAAGCAGCCAUCAUUUAAAGAAAGCGUAAUAGCUCACUGGUCGAGUCGGCCUGCGCGGAAGAUGUAACGGGGCUAAACCAUGCACCGAAGCUGCGGCAGCGACGCUUAUGCGUUGUUGGGUAGGGGAGCGU
This 739-nucleotide ribosomal RNA is filed under the name Shigella flexneri. RNAcentral describes it as "partial 23S ribosomal RNA". It matches the Rfam family "Bacterial large subunit ribosomal RNA", at positions 500 to 1239 of the family's 2925-position model. Lineage: Bacteria; Pseudomonadati; Pseudomonadota; Gammaproteobacteria; Enterobacterales; Enterobacteriaceae. The record is from RNAcentral.